CAGGCCUAACACAUGCAAGUCGAGCGGACCAUUCCUUCGGGGAUGGUUAGCGGCGGACGGGUGAGUAACACGUAGGCAACCUGCCUGUAAGAUCGGGAUAACUACCGGAAACGGUAGCUAAGACCGGAUAGCUGGUUUCCCCGCAUGGGGGAAUCAUGAAACACGGGGCAACCUGUGGCUUACGGAUGGGCCUGCGGCGCAUUAGCUAGUUGGUGGGGUAACGGCCCACCAAGGCGACGAUGCGUAGCCGACCUGAGAGGGUGAUCGGCCACACUGGGACUGAGACACGGCCCAGACUCCUACGGGAGGCAGCAGUAGGGAAUCUUCCGCAAUGGGCACAAGCCUGGCGGAGCAACGCCGCGUGAGUGAUGAAGGUUUUCGGAUCGUAAAGCUCUGUUGCCAAGGAAGAACGCCUCGGAGAGUAACUGCUCUGAGGGUGACGGUACUUGAGAAGCAAGCCCCGGCUAACUACGUGCCAGCAGCCGCGGUAAUACGUAGGGGGCAAGCGUUGUCCGGAAUUAUUGGGCGUAAAGCGCGCGCAGGCGGUCUUCUAAGUUUGGUGUUUAAGCCCGGGGCUCAACCCCGGUUCGCACUGAAAACUGGGAGACUUGAGUGCAGGAGAGGAAAGCGGAAUUCCACGUGUAGCGGUGAAAUGCGUAGAGAUGUGGAGGAACACCAGUGGCGAAGGCGGCUUUCUGGACUGUAACUGACGCUGAGGCGCGAAAGCGUGGGGAGCAAACAGGAUUAGAU
Molecule: ribosomal RNA, 750 nt
Filed under: uncultured bacterium
Lineage: Bacteria
Description: bacterial SSU rRNA
Rfam family: Bacterial small subunit ribosomal RNA
Source: RNAcentral